GGAUGGAUUGCAAUAUAUACACAGGGACAUGUUGGUACAAGGUCUCUUUCAUUCUGCUCUGUGGUUCUGCAGACAAAAGCCUAUUGGUAAUUAAUUCUCUCUGGCAGUUCUCCAGUUCCUCCUCAGUUUGAGUUACUUGUCUGUUGCCUCCUCCCACUUUCCUAGAGUUGAAUCUGACUCUUAUUAUUUGGGAGCCAAAAACUCUGUCUAUAAACCUGCCUGCAAAUUUUUGGUCUUAUGGUCCUGUGGCUUCUUUGAGACUUUGGUUCGGUUUGGGAGAAAACGUUCCUUGGAAUGCAGUAAGAGAACUGCAGAUGGGACUGUCUAAUUGCAGGAAAACAAGCACAGGCCUCCCCCUGAUUCUACGUUAUGCUUUUAGAGUGACCGACCAUUACCAGUCUGACCAGAAUUUUAUUGGCUGCAAUACUGAAAAGCUCAUGUCUCGGAAAUCCUUUGGUCUUGGGUGAAGUGGGAUGCUUGGUUACCCUACCACUGAUGAUUGUAAUUCUCAGGUAAGGUACUUGGGUUUCGGCAGUUGUUAACUCUCCUAAAUAUUUGCAACCUUGAAUUGUUCACGUUUGGUCUCUGUUAACCAGC
This 597-nucleotide long non-coding RNA is filed under the name Callithrix jacchus (white-tufted-ear marmoset). Its description in RNAcentral is "lncRNA (ENSCJAG00000073783.1)". Lineage: Eukaryota; Metazoa; Chordata; Mammalia; Primates; Cebidae. The record is from RNAcentral.